This 402-nucleotide ribosomal RNA is filed under the name bacterium. RNAcentral's name for it is "partial 16S ribosomal RNA". It matches the Rfam family "Bacterial small subunit ribosomal RNA", at positions 355 to 776 of the family's 1533-position model. The record is from RNAcentral.
UGGGGAAUUUUGCACAAUGGGGGAAACCCUGAUGCAGCGACGCCGCGUGAUUUAGAAGGCCUUCGGGUUGUAAAAAUCUUUUCUAUGGGAAGAAAAUGACAGUACCAUAGGAAUAAGGACCGGCUAAUUACGUACCAGCAGCCGCGGUAAUACGUAAGGUCCGAGCGUUGUCCGGAAUCAUUGGGCGUAAAGGGUACGUAGGCGGGUAAGCAAGUUAGAAGUGACAUCCUAUAGCUCAACUAUAGUAAGCUUUUAAAACUGCUCAUCUUGAGGUAUGGAAGGGAAAGUGGAAUUCCUAGUGUAGCGGUGAAAUGCGCAGAUAUUAGGAGGAAUACCGGUGGCGAAGGCGACUUUCUGGCCAUAACCUGACGCUGAGGUACGAAAGCGUGGGUAGCAAACAGG